RNAcentral lists this ribosomal RNA (195 nucleotides) under uncultured bacterium. RNAcentral describes it as "partial 16S ribosomal RNA". It matches the Rfam family "Bacterial small subunit ribosomal RNA", at positions 163 to 353 of the family's 1533-position model. The record is from RNAcentral.
CUAAUACCGCAUGACAUAUCAGAAUCACAUGAUUUUGUAUAUCAAAGAUUUUAUUCGCUUGAAGAUGGACUCGCGUCCGAUUAGUUAGUUGGUGAGGUAACGGCCUACCAAGGCGACGAUCGGUAGCCGGCCUGAGAGGGUGAACGGUCACAUUGGGACUGAGACACGGUCCAAACUCCUACGGGAGGCAGCAUG